This 1152-nucleotide ribosomal RNA is filed under the name Minisyncoccota bacterium. RNAcentral describes it as "bacterial SSU rRNA". It matches the Rfam family "Bacterial small subunit ribosomal RNA", at positions 424 to 1533 of the family's 1533-position model. The record is from RNAcentral. Lineage: Bacteria; Bacillati; Minisyncoccota.
CGUAAAGAUCUUUUAUGAGGGAAGAAGUUUAUUGACGGUACCUCAUGAAUAAGAGGCUCCUAAUCUCGUGCCAGCAGGAGCGGUAAUACGAGAGCCUCGAGCGUUAUCCGGAAUUAUUGGGCGUAAAGGGUGCGUAGGUUGCUGUGUUAGUCUUUUGUGAAAGACCCGAGCUUAACUUGGGGAGCGCAAAAGAAACGGCACAGCUAGAAAGUGUGAGAGGUGUACAGAACUCAUGGUGUAGGGGUGAAAUCCGUUGAUAUCAUGGGGAAUACCAAAAGCGAAGGCAGUACACUGGCACAUAUUUGACACUGAAGCACGAAAGCGUGGGUAGCGAAUGGGAUUAGAUACCCCAGUAGUCCACGCCCUAAACGAUGAUUUCUCGCUAUUCGGAGUAUCGACCCUCUGAGUGGCUUAGCUAACGCGUUAAGAAAUCCGCCUGGGAAGUACGGCCGCAAGGCUAAAACUCAAAGGAAUAGACGGGGACUUGCACAAGCAGUGGAUUAUGUGGUUUAAUUCGAUGGUAAACGAAGAACCUUACCAGGGCUAGAAAUCAACGUGAAAGCUCUAAGAAACUAGAGCCCUCGCAAGACUAGUUGACAGGUGCUGCAUGGCCGUCGUCAGUUCGUGGUUUGAAUUGUACCCUUAAGUGGGCUAACGAACGCAACCCUCGUUGUGUGUUACAAGUGUCACACGAUACUGCCCCCGCCUUUGUUCCUCUUUGGAGUGAAGUGUGUAUGUUCGCUAAUUAUUAGCGGGCCUGCCCGCCGAAACUCCCGAAGGGUAGUGAAGGCGGGGGAGGAAGGAGAGGAUGACGCCAGGUCAGCAUGGCCCUUGAUGCCCUGGGCUACACACAUAAUACAAUGGCCAUUACAACGCGCAGCGACGAGGCGACUCUGAGCUAAUCGUCAAAAAUGGCCCCAGUUCGGAUUGAAGUCUGCAACUCGACUUCAUGAAGCCGGAAUUGCUAGUAAUCGCGGGUCAGACAUACCGCGGUGAAUACGUUCUCAAGUCUUGUACUCACCGCCCGUCAAUUCAAGGGAGCCGGGAGUACCCGAAGUCUCUUCAUAAGGAGGGCCUACGGUAAGCUCGGUGACAGGGAAUAAGUCGUAACAAGGCACGGGUAGCGGAAGCUGCUCGUGGAAUAAUUCAAUU